AAAUAUAUAUAGAUACGCCACUCCGCUGUUGGGGCUGGCGACACUACCGCCACGCCAAAAUUACACCUGGUGGCAAUUCACAGGUACUAAUCUACCCUUUGGGAACGUUUAAAAAAAAUCCUCCUCAGUUUCAGUUCAAUGCUCAGUGGGUAUAUCCAAGCAACUUUCGACUAGCAUCUGCUGUUUCCAAGAAAUGUCAAAACAAAGGCAUUUUUAUUUUUCGUUUUCUUUGCUGGUAGUUUAGCAUCCUUCGCAAAUGUUUUAUGAAUUUGCUGGUUGUGCCGUUUCUACCAUGCAGAUUCUAGCGGCGUGAAUGUUCCAGUCAAUAGAUCGAAAGUGUUGUGCUCUUCAAGAAAGCAGUGAGAUUCCGGAGAACUAUGAUGGUGAAAGCGAACUCGGAAACGAUGAAGCGGAAGUCUGUCUAGCCAUCCAUGGUGGAUGGCAAUCAACGUUCAGUCACACAUCCGGACAAACCUAAGACCUCGACUACUGAACAAGCAAGGGAACAAAUGCUGCCCCGCCAAAGAAGCUUCUCCUGCCACAGAAGCCCUCACUGAAAAUACGCCACCCUUUUUUUCCAAGUGCCCAAACACUUGAAUGAUUCAAUUAAGCCGCAUCUUAGAUCUAAUUUGUUUGUGUAUCAAUUUCAAUCCAAUCCAUUAUUAAAUUCAAGUGUUUUGGCGAUUGACUUUUUGGUAUUUUUUGACACCUUAUUUUCAUUCGGGUGGCUCAAAAAUUACAAGUGUUUUGCUCAUGAAUUUGCCCCACUGUGUUGAACAAUUCAAAGUGAUGAGGAAAACACUUGAAAUUGAUCUUGUUUUGAUUUGAAAUGCAGGUUCGCGACAGCUUCAUGAGACUUUGCUUUGUUUCCUCAUUUGAAAGUUUUGGCCGUCCGGUGUGUUCGUUUUUCGCAGACCGCGUGAGUUCGCUGCCGCCAUGUUCCAGUCCAGUAAAUUGCCUGCCCGGAUUGUGACCGUGAAGAUGAGCAUCGCCACAAGACUGCGUCCUCGGGCUCGGGCUCCGUAUGGCCAGCGGAAGGGCUUGGUCUCCCGGAUUCCCGGAUAGAAGCCAACUUUUGUGAUAAAGUUCCUUUCCGAACUAUUUGGAAGGAUGCAAAAGAGCUGCAGAUGCCGUACCAGGAAGUGGUUCCAGUGAGAAGCAAGAUUCGGAUGCAGGGGCCAAGCUAUGCGUCAUUCGGAUGGUCAAGGCACAGUUUGAGUCGAUGGAACCACCGCGGUUCCACCAAAGAGAAUUCCGCAUCAACAAGAAGAUUCUCCAGUGGCCUCCAUCUCCGCCGGCACCGGUGCUUCACUCGCCGACGCUGAGGAACCUCCCAGGAAGCAGUGGUGGUGUCGGGACAACCGGAUGAAAAAAUUACAAAAUUUUUACACACCAAGUUGUUCUUGAAGUUAGAAAAUAAAAGCAGCCAAAAAAUUUAAUUGCGCAACAUCUUCUUUAUU
Culex quinquefasciatus (southern house mosquito) is the source of this 1460-nucleotide long non-coding RNA. RefSeq lists it as uncharacterized. NCBI's taxonomy places the organism in Eukaryota, Metazoa, Arthropoda, Insecta, Diptera, Culicidae. The record is from RefSeq and is a predicted model, not a curated record. The transcript is spliced from 3 exons.